AUACUUACCUGUCAGGGAGAUACCAUGAGCACAAAGGUGGUUUUCAUAGGCAAAGCCUGUCCAUUGCACUGGGGAUGGGUUGACUUCUGUGAUUUCCUCAAACGUGGAAUACUCAACUGCAUAAUUUGUGGUAGUCGAGGACUGAGUUUGUGCUUUACCCUUGU
This is a small nuclear RNA of Octodon degus (degu), 164 nucleotides long. Its record names the gene U1. It matches the Rfam family "U1 spliceosomal RNA". Rfam says of the family: U1 is a small nuclear RNA (snRNA) component of the spliceosome (involved in pre-mRNA splicing). The record is from Ensembl. Lineage: Eukaryota; Metazoa; Chordata; Mammalia; Rodentia; Octodontidae.